AGUGGCGGACGGGUGAGUAACGCGUGAGAAUCUGGCUUCAGGUUCGGGACAACAGUUGGAAACGGCUGCUAAUACCGGAUGUGCCUUAUGGUGAAAGAUCUAUCACCUGAAGAUGAGCUCGCGUCUGAUUAGCUAGUAGGUGUGGUAAGAGCGCACCUAGGCGACGAUCAGUAGCUGGUCUGAGAGGAUGAUCAGCCACACUGGGACUGAGACACGGCCCAGACUCCUACGGGAGGCAGCAGUGGGGAAUUUUCCGCAAUGGGCGAAAGCCUGACGGAGCAAUACCGCGUGAGGGAGGAAGGCUCUUGGGUUGUAAACCUCUUUUCUCAGGGAAGAAUGAUGACGGUACCUGAGGAAUAAGCAUCGGCUAACUCCGUGCCAGCAGCCGCGGUAAUACGGAGGAUGCAAGCGUUAUCCGGAAUGAUUGGGCGUAAAGCGUCCGCAGGUGGCAAUGUAAGUCUGCUGUCAAAGCGUCUGGCUCAACCAGAUAAAGGCAGUGGAAACUACAUAGCUAGAGUAAGGUAGGGGUAGAGGGAAUUCCUGGUGUAGCGGUGAAAUGCGUAGAGAUCAGGAAGAACACCGGUGGCGAAAGCGCUCUGCUGGACCUUAACUGACACUGAGGGACGAAAGCUAGGGGAGCGAAUGGGAUUAGAUACCCCAGUAGUCCUAGCCGUAAACGAUGGAUACUAGGCGUUGCCCGUAUCGACCCGGGCAGUGUCGUAGCUAACGCGUUAAGUAUCCCGCCUGGGGAGUACGCAGGCAACUGUGAAACUCAAAGGAAUUGACGGGGGCCCGCACAAGCGGUGGAGUAUGUGGUUUAAUUCGAUGCAACGCGAAGAACCUUACCAGGGCUUGACAUGUCCCGAAUCCUCUUGAAA
Molecule: ribosomal RNA, 878 nt
Filed under: uncultured Scytonema sp.
Lineage: Bacteria; Bacillati; Cyanobacteriota; Cyanophyceae; Nostocales; Scytonemataceae
Description: bacterial SSU rRNA
Rfam family: Bacterial small subunit ribosomal RNA
Source: RNAcentral